Molecule: small RNA, 691 nt
Filed under: Pongo abelii (Sumatran orangutan)
Lineage: Eukaryota; Metazoa; Chordata; Mammalia; Primates; Hominidae
Description: processed transcript
Source: RNAcentral
CAGCACAUCCCUGGAAGAAACUGGGGAUGCUUUUCUCUGCUCUAUGUGCUCCCACUCACGGUGUGCUUCAUGGGAAGCAGAUUCUGAAGUGAGAGGAGCCCUGGAAAGGAGCGAGCCACUCUUGCUUCAGUGUCCAGAGGCCACCACCACAGAGCUGAGUCUGUGCCGCAUCACGGGAAUGAAGGAAAUGCUAAGAAAAUUCAGCACAGAGAUAACGCUGGACCCAGCCACAGCUAAUGCCUAUCUCGUGUUGUCGGAGGAUCUGAAGAGUGUGAAAUACGGGGGAAGCAGACAGCAGCUACCCGACAAUCCGGAAAGAUUUGACCAGUCUGCGACUGUGCUGGGUGCUCAGAUCUUCACCAGUGGGAGACACUACUGGGAAGUGGAGGUGGGAAACAAGACCGAGUGGGAAGUGGGCAUCUGCAAGGACUCUGUAAGCAGAAAGGGGAAUCUCCCCAAGCCACCUGGGGACCUGUUCUCACUAAUAGGUUUAAAAAUCGGAGAUGAUUACAGCCUCUGGGUCUCAUCACCUUUGAAAGGUCAGCACGUCAGAGAGCCUGUGUGUAAGGUUGGUGUCUUCCUGGACUAUGAAUCUGGACAUGUAGCAUUCUACAACGGGACGGAUGAAUCCCUCAUCUACAGCUUCCCACCAGCUUCCUUCCAAGAGGCCCUCAGGCCUAUCUUUUCCCCC